RNAcentral lists this ribosomal RNA (509 nucleotides) under uncultured Entrophospora. RNAcentral's name for it is "SSU rRNA". It matches the Rfam family "Eukaryotic small subunit ribosomal RNA", at positions 569 to 1077 of the family's 1831-position model. Lineage: Eukaryota; Fungi; Glomeromycota; Glomeromycetes; Entrophosporales; Entrophosporaceae. The record is from RNAcentral.
AGCAGCCGCGGUAAUUCCAGCUCCAAUAGCGUAUAUUAAAGUUGUUGCAGUUAAAAAGCUCGUAGUUGAAUUUCGGGAUUGACACAUCGGUCGUGCCUUAAGGGGUAUGAACUGGUGUAGUCAAUUUCUCACCUUCUGGAGAACCGCAAUGCCCUUAAUUGGGUGUCGCGGGGAACCAGGACCUUUACUUUGAAAAAUUAGAGUGUUUAAAGCAGGCAUUUUGCUUGAAUACAUUAGCAUGGAAUAAUAAAAUAGGACGGCAUGAUUCUAUUUUGUUGGUUUCUAGGAUCACCGUAAUGAUUAAUAGGGAUAGUUGGGGGCAUUAGUAUUCAAUUGUCAGAGGUGAAAUUCUUGGAUUUAUUGAAGACUAACUACUGCGAAAGCAUUUGCCAAGGAUGUUUUCAUUAAUCAAGAACGAAAGUUAGGGGAUCGAAGACGAUCAGAUACCGUCGUAGUCCUAACCAUAAACUAUGCCGACUAGGGAUCGGAUGAUGUUAAUUUUUUAAUGU